AGUGGCGGACGGGUGAGUAACGCGUGAGAAUCUGCCUUCAGGAUGGGGACAACAGCGGGAAACUGCUGCUAACACCCAAUGUGCCGCAAGGUGAAAAAUUUAUUGCCUGAAGAGGGGCUCGCGUCUGAUUAGCUAGUUGGUAGGGUAAAGGCCUACCAAGGCGACGAUCAGUAGCUGGUCUGAGAGGAUGAGCAGCCACACUGGGACUGAGACACGGCCCAGACUCCUACGGGAGGCAGCAGUGGGGAAUUUUCCGCAAUGGGCGAAAGCCUGACGGAGCAAUACCGCGUGAGGGAGGAAGGUCUAACAGAUUGUAAACCUCUUUUCUCAGGGAAGAAGCAAUGACGGUACCUGAGGAAUCAGCAUCGGCUAACUCCGUGCCAGCAGCCGCGGUAAUACGGAGGAUGCAAGCGUUAUCCGGAAUUAUUGGGCGUAAAGCGUCCGCAGGUGGCCAUUCAAGUCUGCUGUCAAAGACCAGGGCUUAACUCUGGAAAGGCAGUGGAAACUGAAAGGCUAGAGACUGGUAGGGGUAGAGGGAAUUCCCAGUGUAGCGGUGAAAUGCGUAGAGAUUGGGAAGAACACCAGUGGCGAAAGCGCUCUACUGGGCCGGAACUGACACUCAGGGACGAAAGCUAGGGGAGCGAAAGGGAUUAGAUACCCCUGUAGUCCUAGCCGUAAACGAUGGAUACUAGGUGU
Molecule: ribosomal RNA, 696 nt
Filed under: uncultured Chroococcales cyanobacterium
Lineage: Bacteria; Bacillati; Cyanobacteriota; Cyanophyceae; Chroococcales
Description: bacterial SSU rRNA
Rfam family: Bacterial small subunit ribosomal RNA
Source: RNAcentral